Molecule: long non-coding RNA, 1759 nt
Organism: Carassius gibelio (silver crucian carp)
Lineage: Eukaryota; Metazoa; Chordata; Actinopteri; Cypriniformes; Cyprinidae
Exons: 2
Source: RefSeq, a predicted model, not a curated record
CUUUUAAAUUCAAAGGAUGUUGCAGAUGCUUAAAAUGUUCCAAAAAUAAAGUCAUGUAUCCUAUGUAAAGAUAAAAUGCAACGAAAUAUCUGAAUUGUAAAUUAAACGCAAAGAUGCAAUCAAACAUCUUAACACAUAUUAAUGACAAUGCAUGUAAGCUACAACUAAAGGCGACGUUUGACUCAGGAAAACCCAGAAGACCCGCAGUACUAGAGCUGUCUAGAGCAUUAACUAUUCAGUGACAGACUGAACUCUAGAGGGAGGGAUCCUGGAAAUGGGUGAUGACACAUUUCCAAAACCUAAACCUCUUGAGCAACAGCCGUGAAUGCCAGUGUCACUCCUGUGGAGUCAUUAUGAGUCUAUGUUAUCGGCACGACAGUUGAACACAGUCCUUUGAGAGAAGGAGCCAAAACAAGUGCGGCAUGAAUAAGACCUUGGGCAAGUGUGUGUGUGUGACAGAGAGAGAGUAAUUACACUGUGUGAAUGAAGGUUGAGGGAAUGUUUUGAGUGCUCAGGGAAUAAAGAAACAAAAACAGCGUACGUAAUUUAUGUCAAGAGCACAGUGACACACUUCAAUUGAAUGUCAUCCUUUUUUUAGUUUUUGCCAAUAAGAAAAAUUGGUGGGAAAUCUGGGGAUUAAUGAAAUUAAUGAAUGUCUUAUAUAGUAAGUUGAAAUAAAUAAGUGUAUAUUCGUACAAUAAGCUUAAAAUAUUUAAAUAAAUAACAAACUAUACAUUAAAAGGCAAAUACGUUUUUGGAUAUUUUGGGGAUUUAACAUCAAAACGCAACAUCUAAUGUAAAAAUGUAUGUUUUUAGUGUAACCUUCUCCCUUUAAAUACUUUGGUCAGUUCAAGAACAAUUUAUGCAAUUUUAUAUGAUUUAUUUGAAAGAAUUAAAAGAGCGGUUUCAUGUCCAUUCUUGUGUUGUUCAACUGGACUGAAAUGGGAUUUAGUAAGUAACUAGUAACAAGCAACGCAAUCGUUUUCAAGAGAAUCGAGAGAGAUUCGUACGGAAAUCUAAUAACAUUGUCCAGUAAUCAAUGACUCUUUUAGAGUAACUUACCCAAUACUAUAUAUAAUUAACCUGAUUUUAUUCUUAAUAACAUUUUUCUUUUUCUUUCUGGCUUUGGGAGUAUUUUCUGAUUUAUGGAGCGAUAAAAAGAGAUAUCCAAAAUCCCCUCUGUAAAAUCCUUGAACUCUAAUACACCAACAAAAUGAAACGAGAACUUUGAACCUGAAAUCUGUUCGGUUUCAUAACUAAAAUUCCCAUAGUUUCCCCCCCAAAAAAGUCUCUGGUUUAGAUGUUUAAACCCCCAUCAAGUGUGUAACUCAUCCUGGCUGAAGCACAUCAACACUAUCUAUGGUCAACAGUCACCACUGAUGAAUAAAUCAAGAGAGAGACGGCUGACGUCAUUCUGAAACCAGACCAACCCCCUCCGGGCUAACUAGACUAAUUAACCUCCUCAGACCCAAGACACAGUCAAACAAGUAGGCCAGCACAACAAGAGAGACCCAAAUCACCCCGAGUCCAUGUAAUGUGUUCAUGCAGGACACCAAACGACUGCUUUCUGCUUCAUGAAUGUGAUUGUGUCUCAAGAGAGGCACUGAACAUUUACAAGUUCCUCUGCAAGAAUGAGGUCUGAUGGGAUUCCCAAGAUUGUGUAUCCACCAGCUUUAUGUUCCUCAAGAUGUUUAUCAUACUCCACAUCAACGAACUAGAAAGCAGCCAAACUAACAAAUAAAGGUUGUUUUGGUCGUAA